This 476-nucleotide ribosomal RNA is filed under the name uncultured bacterium. RNAcentral's name for it is "bacterial SSU rRNA". It matches the Rfam family "Bacterial small subunit ribosomal RNA", at positions 38 to 510 of the family's 1533-position model. The record is from RNAcentral.
GGCGGCGUGUUUAAGACAUGCAAGUCGAACGGAUUGAAGUUGUAGCAAUACCGCUUCAAUCAGUGGCGCACGGGUGCGUAACACGUGAGUUACAUGCCCUAUAGUCGUGAAUAGCCCUCCCAAAGGGGGAUUAAUACACGAUGGUCCCGCAAGGGUAAAGGUGGCUUCGGCUGCCGCUAUAGGAUUGGCUCGCGGCCUAUCAGCUAGUUGGCGAGGUAACGGCUCACCAAGGCGACGACGGGUACCUGGUCUGAGAGGACGAUCAGGCACACUGGAACUGAGACACGGUCCAGACACCUACGGGUGGCAGCAGUCGAGAAUAAUUCACAAUGGGGGAAACCCUGAUGGUGCAACGCCGCGUGGAGGAUGAAGGUCUUCGGAUUGUAAACUCCUGUCAUCUGGGAGUAAGGCGUGGCGAUGAAUAGUCGACACGAUUGAUAGUACCANAAGAGGAAGGGACGGCUAACUUCGUGCCA